This 565-nucleotide ribosomal RNA is filed under the name Trichoderma harzianum. RNAcentral describes it as "eukaryotic LSU rRNA". The stretch from base 180 to 333 matches the Rfam family "5.8S ribosomal RNA". The record is from RNAcentral. Lineage: Eukaryota; Fungi; Ascomycota; Sordariomycetes; Hypocreales; Hypocreaceae.
CCAAUGUGAACGUUACCAAACUGUUGCCUCGGCGGGAUCUCUGCCCCGGGUGCGUCGCAGCCCCGGACCAAGGCGCCCGCCGGAGGACCAACCAAAACUCUUUUUGUAUACCCCCUCGCGGGUUUUUUAUAAUCUGAGCCUUCUCGGCGCCUCUCGUAGGCGUUUCGAAAAUGAAUCAAAACUUUCAACAACGGAUCUCUUGGUUCUGGCAUCGAUGAAGAACGCAGCGAAAUGCGAUAAGUAAUGUGAAUUGCAGAAUUCAGUGAAUCAUCGAAUCUUUGAACGCACAUUGCGCCCGCCAGUAUUCUGGCGGGCAUGCCUGUCCGAGCGUCAUUUCAACCCUCGAACCCCUCCGGGGGGUCGGCGUUGGGGAUCGGCCCUCCCUUAGCGGGUGGCCGUCUCCGAAAUACAGUGGCGGUCUCGCCGCAGCCUCUCCUGCGCAGUAGUUUGCACACUCGCAUCGGGAGCGCGGCGCGUCCACAGCCGUUAAACACCCAACUUCUGAAAUGUUGACCUCGGAUCAGGUAGGAAUACCCGCUGAACUUAAGCAUAUCAAUAAGCGGAG